GGUUCGAUCAUGGCUCAGAUUGAACGCUAUGUGGAUGCUGUAUACAUGCAAGCGAACGGCAGCAUGGACUUCGGUCUGGUGGCGAGUGGCGAACGGGGUGAGUAAUGAUGGAACGUGCCUAGUAGCGGGGAUAACUACGCGAAAGCGUAGCUAAUACCGCAUAUUGCCCUUCGGGGAAGCGGGGGACUCCGGCCUCGCACCAUUAGAGCGGCCGAUAUCGGAUUAGCUUGUUGGUGGGUAACGGCUCACCAAGGCGACGGACCCAGCUGGUUUGAGAGGACGACCAGCCACACUGGGACUGAGACACGGCCCAGACUCCCACGGGAGGCAGCAGUGGGAAUUUUGGACAAUGGGGAAACCCCGAUCCAGCCAUCCCGCGUGUGCGAUGAAGGCCUUCGGAGUUGUAAAGCACUUUUGGCAGAAGAAACGGCACGGAUAAUACCCCGUGCAACUGACGGUACCUGCAGAAUAAGCACCGGCUAACUACGUGCCAGCAGCCGCGGUAAUACGUAGGGUGCAAGUUAAUCGGAAUUUUAUUGAAGGUGAAGCGUGCGCAGGCGGUUCGGAAAGAAAGAUGUGAAAUCCCAGAGCUUAACUUUGGAACUGGCAUUUUUAACUACCGAGCUAGAGCGUGGUCAGAGGGAGUGUGGAAUUCCGCGUAGCAGUGAAAUGCGUAGAUAUGCGGAGGAACACCGAUGGCGAAGGCAGCCUCCUGGGAUAACACUGACGUGUGCUCAUGCACGAAAGCGUGGGGAGCAACAGAUUAGAUACCCUGGUAGUCCACGCCCUAAACGAUGUCAACUAGCUGUUGGGGCCUUCGGGCCUUGGUAGCGCAGAGUGGCUAAUUGGCAGGAAGUUGACCAUUUGGGGAGUACGGUCGCAAGAUUAAAACUCAAAGGAAUUGACGGGACCUGCACAAGCUAUGGGUGGAUGAUGAUUAAUUGAUGCAACGCGAAAAACCUACCUACCUCGACAUGUCUGGAACUCGGAAGAGAGAUUUCACGGGGAGUGCCGCAAGAGAACCGAACCAGAAGGCAUGAUGAGCCGUCAGCUCGUGUCGAGAUGUUGUCCCGCAACGAGCGCAACCUUGUCAUUAUUACAUGAAAGGGCACUCAUCGAGAUCGCCGGUGACAGUCCGAGGAAGGUGGGGAUGACGUCAAGUCCUCAUGGCCCUUAUGUAGGGCUUCACACCGCAAUGAAGUCGGGACAGAGAUCGCCAACCCGCGAGGGGGAGCCAAUCCCAGAAACCCGAUCGUAGUCCGGAUCGCAGUCUGCAACUCGACUGCGUGAAGUCGGAAUCGCUAGUAAUCGCGGAUCAGCAUGUCGCGGUGAAUACGUUCCCGGUCUUGUACACACCGCCCGUCACACCAUGGGAGUGGGUUUUACCAGAAGUAGUUAGCCUAACCGUAAGGAGGGCGAUUACCACGGUAGGAUUCAUGACUGGGGUGAAGUCGUAACAAGGG
RNAcentral lists this ribosomal RNA (1463 nucleotides) under uncultured Bordetella sp. RNAcentral's name for it is "partial 16S-23S ribosomal RNA intergenic spacer". It matches the Rfam family "Bacterial small subunit ribosomal RNA". Lineage: Bacteria; Pseudomonadati; Pseudomonadota; Betaproteobacteria; Burkholderiales; Alcaligenaceae. The record is from RNAcentral.